Gossypium arboreum is the source of this 119-nucleotide non-coding RNA. Lineage: Eukaryota; Viridiplantae; Streptophyta; Magnoliopsida; Malvales; Malvaceae. The record is from Rfam.
GGGUGUGAUCAUACCCUUACUAAUGCACCGGAUCCCAUCAGUACUCCGCAAUUAAGCAUGCUUGGGCGAGGAUAGUACUGGGAUGGGUGACCUCCUGGGAAGUCCUUGUGUUGCACCCC